This is a long non-coding RNA of Labrus mixtus (cuckoo wrasse), 408 nucleotides long. RefSeq lists it as uncharacterized. NCBI's taxonomy places the organism in Eukaryota, Metazoa, Chordata, Actinopteri, Labriformes, Labridae. The transcript has 2 exons. The record is from RefSeq and is a predicted model, not a curated record.
CCUUAUGACAUCACACAUUGACCUGAUGACAUCACACAUUGACCUGAUGACAUCACACAUUGACCUGAUGACAUCACGCAUUGACCUUAUGACAUCACACACUGACCUUAUGACAUCACACAUUGACCUUAUGACAUCACACACUGACCUUAUGACAUCACACAUUGACCUUAUGACAUCACACAUUGACCUUUGUUACUUGAGACUUGACUCAUCUCUUUAAAGGACGCCGUGACUCGAGGGCGUUGAUCUGAGACUGAAGACUGUUUGUGUUUGACGCCCGAGAGACCGACUGAGUGACUCGAUGUGUCUGUAGGUGACGAGUUAUUUCAACACACUGAAGAUGAAUGAAUAAAAUGUAUUUAAAUCUGUAAUCAAGAUUUGAGCACUCUGUUUUAUUUCUUUAAA